UGAGGAAUAUUGGUCAAUGGGCGCAAGCCUGAACCAGCCAUCCCGCGUGCAGGAAGACGGCCCUAUGGGUUGUAAACUGCUUUUCCAGGGGGAGAAUUUUUCUGUCGUGACAGGAAUUGACGGUACCCUGGGAAUAAGCACCGGCUAACUCCGUGCCAGCAGCCGCGGUAAUACGGAGGAUGCGAGCGUUAUCCGGAUUUAUUGGGUUUAAAGGGUGCGUAGGCGGAUUGAUAAGUCAGUGGUGAAAACCUGCAGCUUAACUGUAGACUUGCCGUUGAUACUGUCAGUCUUGAGUGUGGUCAAGGUAGGCGGAAUGUGUAAUGUAGCGGUGAAAUGCUUAGAUAUUACACAGAACACCGAUUGCGAAGGCAGCUUACUGGGCCAUUACUGACGCUGAGGCACGAAGGCGUGGGGAUCGAACAG
RNAcentral lists this ribosomal RNA (423 nucleotides) under uncultured bacterium. RNAcentral's name for it is "bacterial SSU rRNA". It matches the Rfam family "Bacterial small subunit ribosomal RNA", at positions 355 to 775 of the family's 1533-position model. The record is from RNAcentral.